RNAcentral lists this ribosomal RNA (490 nucleotides) under uncultured bacterium. RNAcentral's name for it is "partial 16S ribosomal RNA". It matches the Rfam family "Bacterial small subunit ribosomal RNA", at positions 28 to 507 of the family's 1533-position model. The record is from RNAcentral.
GAUGAACGCUCGCUCCAGGCUUAACACAUGCAAGUCGAGGGGCAGCAUGGUCUUAGCUUGCUAAGGCCGAUGGCGACCGGCGCACGGGUGAGUAACACGUAUCCAACCUGCCGUCUACUCUUGGACAGCCUUCUGAAAGGAAGAUUAAUACAAGAUGGCAUCAUGAGUCCGCAUGUUCACAUGAUUAAAGGUAUUCCGGUAGACGAUGGGGAUGCGUUCCAUUAGAUAGUAGGCGGGGUAACGGCCCACCUAGUCUUCGAUGGAUAGGGGUUCUGAGAGGAAGGUCCCCCACAUUGGAACUGAGCCACGGUCCAAACUCCUACGGGAGGCAGCAGUGAGGAAUAUUGGUCAAUGGGCGCAGGCCUGAACCAGCCAAGUAGCGUGAAGGAUGACUGCCCUAUGGGUUGUAAACUUCUUUUAUAAAGGAAUAAAGUCGGGUAUGUAUACCCGUUUGCAUGUACUUUAUGAAUAAGGAUCGGCUAACUCCGUG